This 468-nucleotide ribosomal RNA is filed under the name uncultured bacterium. RNAcentral's name for it is "bacterial SSU rRNA". It matches the Rfam family "Bacterial small subunit ribosomal RNA", at positions 30 to 504 of the family's 1533-position model. The record is from RNAcentral.
UGAACGCUGGCGGCGUGCCUAAUACAUGCAAGUCGAACGAAGAGCUCUUAGUAUUCGUACUUUGAGUUUCUUAGUGGCGAACGGGUGAGUAACGCGUUGGUGACCUGCCCCGAAAUGUGGGAUAACUCCGGGAAACUGGAGCUAAUACCUCAUGUGAUCAGUGGAUUUAGAAACUACUGAUUAAAGGUCUUCGGAUCGUUUCGGGAGGGGCCUGCGUCCCAUCAGCUAGUUGGUAGGGUAAUGGCCUACCAAGGCGACGACGGGUAGGGGACCUGAGAGGGUGAUCCCCCACAAUGGAACUGAAACACGGUCCAUACAUCUACGGAUGGCAGCAGUAGGGAAUAUUGCACAAUGGGCGAAAGCCUGAUGCAGCAACGCCGCGUGUGCGAUGAAGGCCUUCGGGUUGUAAAGCACUUUUCUGAGGGAAGAGGAAGGACGGUACCUCAGGAAUAAGUCUCGGCUAACUAC